This 512-nucleotide RNase MRP RNA is filed under the name Sordaria macrospora k-hell. RNAcentral's name for it is "RNase MRP". It matches the Rfam family "RNase MRP". Rfam says of the family: RNase MRP is an enzymatically active ribonucleoprotein with two distinct roles in eukaryotes. In mitochondria it plays a direct role in the initiation of mitochondrial DNA replication. The record is from Rfam by way of RNAcentral. Lineage: Eukaryota; Fungi; Ascomycota; Sordariomycetes; Sordariales; Sordariaceae.
CCCUCGUCCGACAAAUCGCUAUUCGAAGCUUCCACACGGAGAGAUUCGCGCCUUUUUGGCGUGUUUUCUUUCAUUUCCAAUCGAGCUUUGGGAGAAAGUCCCCGGACAUUCGUUCACUAUUUGCGAACGGAUUGCGGAAACGCGCCGCCAUAGAAGCACUGCGGCUGAUCUCGGCGUUGCCCAGUUCCUCGUCUGUCUUGCCCAGCCCUGCCCAUCACACCAAAGUCGGUCUCGUCUGCUUCCUCGGGGAGGUCGUCAUUUUUCAAGCUCGGGGACCAACAUGGACGAAGAUAUGAGUCCGCGCCUCGGGUGAGAAGCUUGGUCGCCUGAUCUGGGGGGGCUUGGGGUCGAUGGUGGGUUCAGCCGUUUGGGUGGUCCGGACUUGGGGCGUUUUAACGGCGGCUCGAGAGGUUUCGUCAUGAUACCACAGAUAUGCGAUUGCUCGCUCUUGUGUCUUUUACUAGGGGAGACAUGGGCGAAGUUACUCGACGGGGCUUAUUCUUGGUGCGAGG